Dermacentor silvarum is the source of this 204-nucleotide long non-coding RNA. RefSeq lists it as uncharacterized. The transcript has 3 exons. The record is from RefSeq and is a predicted model, not a curated record. Lineage: Eukaryota; Metazoa; Arthropoda; Arachnida; Ixodida; Ixodidae.
AAUACAGGGCUGCAUUCCAAACGACCAAUGAAUUUCUCAUCUACCUCACUACUUCUUUGAACGCGGUCGCCCUCAGGUUCAUAAACAUGACGAAUCCGAAGAUACGCUUUCAGCUUAAUGGCGUUACAGUUGAUAAUGAUGACAUCCUUACUAAGGAUAAAGUUUGCUCGCCGCACAACCGAGGAUUACAGAGGAUUAUUAGAG